Molecule: RNase P RNA, 402 nt
Filed under: Rhodospirillales bacterium
Lineage: Bacteria; Pseudomonadati; Pseudomonadota; Alphaproteobacteria; Rhodospirillales
Description: RNase P RNA component class A
Rfam family: Bacterial RNase P class A
About the family: Ribonuclease P (RNase P) is a ubiquitous endoribonuclease, found in archaea, bacteria and eukarya as well as chloroplasts and mitochondria. Its best characterised activity is the generation of mature 5'-ends of tRNAs by cleaving the 5'-leader elements of precursor-tRNAs. Cellular RNase Ps are ribonucleoproteins.
Source: RNAcentral
UCAGACGGCUGGAUGGCCGCCCUCCAAAUUCCCGAAAGGGCUUGGGGGGAGGAAAGUCCGGGCUCCACGGAAACACGGUGCCGGGUAACGCCCGGCGGGGGCGACCCCAGGGAAAGUGCCACAGAAAGCAAACCGCCGAUCCGCCUUUCGAGGCCGGUCGGCAAGGGUGAAAGGGUGCGGUAAGAGCGCACCGCGCCCCUGGCGACAGGGGCGGCAUGGUAAACCCCACCGGGAGCAAAACCGAAUAGGGACGGCAGGCAGGGUUCGCCCCUGCAAGUGGGUUUUCGCACCGCUGUCCGGGUAGGUUGCGCGAGGCGUUUGGUAACAGGCGUCCCAGAUGAAUGGCCAUCCAUCGCCCCAAAAGGGCGGGGACAGAACCCGGCUUACAGGCCGUCUGACAUU